UAGGGCGGCACAGAGGGAAGCCAGGUGGCGACACCGCGCGGAACCCGAAAGCCGUUCUCAGUUCGGAUCGGAGUCUGCAACCCGACUCCGUGAAGCUGGAUUCGCUAGUAAUCGCGCAUCAGCCAUGGCGCGGUGAAUACGUUCCCGGGCCUUGUACACACCGCCCGUCAAGCCAUGGGAGCCGGGGGUGCUUGAAGUGCGUCGCCGCAAGGCGCGCCCUAGAGCAAAACCGGUGACUGGGGCUAAGUCGUAACAAGGUAAC
Molecule: ribosomal RNA, 262 nt
Filed under: uncultured bacterium
Lineage: Bacteria
Description: partial 16S ribosomal RNA
Rfam family: Bacterial small subunit ribosomal RNA
Source: RNAcentral